GAAUAUUGGACAAUGGGCGCAAGCCUGAUCCAGCCAUGCCGCGUGAGUGAUGAAGGCCCUAGGGUUGUAAAGCUCUUUUGUGCGGGAAGAUAAUGACGUACCGCAAGAAUAAGCCCCGGCUAACUUCGUGCCAGCAGCCGCGGUAAUU
This 148-nucleotide ribosomal RNA is filed under the name uncultured Nitrobacter sp. RNAcentral's name for it is "partial 16S ribosomal RNA". It matches the Rfam family "Bacterial small subunit ribosomal RNA", at positions 359 to 525 of the family's 1533-position model. Lineage: Bacteria; Pseudomonadati; Pseudomonadota; Alphaproteobacteria; Hyphomicrobiales; Nitrobacteraceae. The record is from RNAcentral.